RNAcentral lists this transfer RNA (73 nucleotides) under Eubacteriales bacterium. RNAcentral describes it as "tRNA-Lys". It matches the Rfam family "tRNA". Rfam says of the family: Transfer RNA (tRNA) molecules are approximately 80 nucleotides in length. The record is from RNAcentral. Lineage: Bacteria; Bacillati; Bacillota; Clostridia; Eubacteriales.
GGGCGUGUAGCUCAGUCGGUAGAGCACUUGACUUUUAAUCAAGUUGUCAGGGGUUCGAUUCCCCUCACGCUCA